RNAcentral lists this ribosomal RNA (512 nucleotides) under uncultured bacterium. RNAcentral's name for it is "partial 16S ribosomal RNA". It matches the Rfam family "Bacterial small subunit ribosomal RNA", at positions 28 to 507 of the family's 1533-position model. The record is from RNAcentral.
GACGAACGCUGGCGGCGUGCCUAAUACAUGCAAGUCGAGCGAGCGGAACUAACAGAUUUACUUCGGUAAUGACGUUAGGAAAGCGAGCGGCGGACGGGUGAGUAACACGUGGGGAACCUGCCCCAUAGUCUGGGAUACCACUUGGAAACAGGUGCUAAUACCGGAUAAGAAAGCAGAUCGCAUGAUCAGCUUUUAAAAGGCGGCGUAAGCUGUCGCUAUGGGAUGGCCCCGCGGUGCAUUAGCUAGUUGGUAAGGUAAAGGCUUACCAAGGCGAUGAUGCAUAGCCGAGUUGAGAGACUGAUCGGCCACAUUGGGACUGAGACACGGCCCAAACUCCUACGGGAGGCAGCAGUAGGGAAUCUUCCACAAUGGACGCAAGUCUGAUGGAGCAACGCCGCGUGAGUGAAGAAGGUUUUCGGAUCGUAAAGCUCUGUUGUUGGUGAAGAAGGAUAGAGGUAGUAACUGGCCUUUAUUUGACGGUAAUCAACCAGAAAGUCACGGCUAACUACGUG